Long non-coding RNA from Nicotiana attenuata, 706 nucleotides. RefSeq lists it as uncharacterized. The transcript has 4 exons. The record is from RefSeq and is a predicted model, not a curated record. NCBI's taxonomy places the organism in Eukaryota, Viridiplantae, Streptophyta, Magnoliopsida, Solanales, Solanaceae.
AAUAGUGCAAGAGAAAGAUUGAAUUUUUCAUUCCCGCUAACAACAAAGUUUGACUCCAUCAUUUUAUCGCAACUUAAAAAUCUGACUCCAAAGUUGUAUGGGUUCUUUUCUUUGCUCGUUUCUCUCCAGAAAUUUCCCCACUCCAUUUUCCUCUCUGCUCAAAUCUCUCAGAUCUAUCCGUUCAAAUCACAAAUUAAGACCCAUCUGUUAUCGACCCAAAUGCCCUAAUCUGAAAUUGUGACUCGAUCAGUUAUGUGCUUGAAUCUCAAGUUCAAAUCCUUUUUUCAGUCGUGAAUGAUGAUUUCAACAAUUUUACAUUUGAUUUCGCAGGAUUUGCGCAAGUCUUGGCUAGGGUGAAUUUUGCUUUUAGGGCAAAUUGGUUGCUUCCAUACCGGUGCUACUGUUGCAUUCAUGUGCUUAAUAAUUUGUUCAGUUGCAAGACUGUAAAGUGGAAGAAAUAAUAAAUAGAGUUAUAGGUUGAAAAGGGGGAGCACUAUCCUAUUUUUCUUGAUAAUUCACAUUGCUCUAGCACAAGGGAUCAUCUCUGCGAUUUCAGAAGAAGCAAUCACCCAGUUUGAAGCAUUUACGGAGCAAGUUGAUGAAGCACUCAACACUACUUUUCAGGCAUAAACUCCAGUGGCUUUUCCCAGGACUUUGGGUCUCUUCCAAUGGCCCAAGCAUUCACGAUUACUUGAGUGUUCUUGGG